RNAcentral lists this transfer RNA (108 nucleotides) under Marmota monax (woodchuck). Its description in RNAcentral is "tRNA.Ile". The record is from RNAcentral. Lineage: Eukaryota; Metazoa; Chordata; Mammalia; Rodentia; Sciuridae.
GGGGUUGUGGCUCAGUGGUAAAGCUGAGGUCAAUAUAAAUGAGAAUAAUAAGAGAAAGGAAGAUAGAUUUUAUCUUUGCAGGCCCUGGGUUCGAUCCCCAGCACCACA